AUACACUGGGAGCUGAAGUUUGAACUUCCUCCCGGCCCAUCCAAUCCCCACACGGCUCUACCGGGACUUAAACUUUGAUGAAAAACCAAGCAGGACAGAGAGCUGUGAGGGGAAAGAAGAUGCAGGGAUUCCUGUCAGAGGGAACAUGGCCAAGGUGUCCAAUAAGAAUCGCUGCGAGACGUCACAUGCUGAGGACCCAGAUGAGGCGGGCAAGCGAAACGCGCGUCGGUCAAAGUGGCGCACAGGGACCAAACACAGAGGGAGCGUGUGUGCCUGGAAAUGAUCGUGAGGGGGAGCGGAAUAAGCGAAACGAUUGGACACACAGAAAUGCGCAGUGUAAUCAACAUCCUGGCAGGAAAGUAGAAAGGAAGAUAAAGAAGAGAGAACAGGGGAAGCUCAGUAAAGAAGAAACCUAAUGCUAUCCAACCGUCUGCUCAUAUUGAUCUCGACAGUACUGAAAGGGGCUUCAGUGGAGUGUCAGUUGCAAUCUACUUUCCUUCAUUCAGUUGUAAUAUUUUGUGAGAUACUGUAAGCCCUACUGAACCACCGCAUAAUGUGAGGAUUGCACCUGUGGCCUGUGUUUUUCAGAGCUAGAAAUUGGAAAUAUAUAUAUUUUUAA
Molecule: long non-coding RNA, 619 nt
Organism: Xenopus tropicalis (tropical clawed frog)
Lineage: Eukaryota; Metazoa; Chordata; Amphibia; Anura; Pipidae
Exons: 4
Source: RefSeq, a predicted model, not a curated record